This 492-nucleotide ribosomal RNA is filed under the name uncultured bacterium. Its description in RNAcentral is "partial 16S ribosomal RNA". It matches the Rfam family "Bacterial small subunit ribosomal RNA", at positions 28 to 507 of the family's 1533-position model. The record is from RNAcentral.
GGUGAACGCUGGCGGUAGGCCUAACACAUGCAAGUCGAACGGCAGCACAGUAAGAGCUUGCUCUUACGGGUGGCGAGUGGCGGACGGGUGAGGAAUACAUCGGAAUCUACUUUUUCGUGGGGGAUAACGUAGGGAAACUUACGCUAAUACCGCAUACGACCCACGGGUGAAAGCAGGGGAUCUUCGGACCUUGCGCGAUUGAAUGAGCCGAUGUCGGAUUAGCUAGUUGGCGGGGUAAAGGCCCACCAAGGCGACGAUCCGUAGCUGGUCUGAGAGGAUGAUCAGCCACACUGGAACUGAGACACGGUCCAGACUCCUAAGGGAGGCAGCAGUGGGGAAUAUUGGACAAUGGGCGCAAGCCUGGUCCAGCCAUACCGCGUGGGUGAAGAAGGCCUUCGGGUUGUAAAGCCCUUUUGUUGGGAAAGAAAAGCAGCAGGUUAAUACCCCGCUGUUCUGACGGUACCCAAAGAAUAAGCACCGGCUAACUUCGUG